UAAAUUCUUUGGAUAAUAAGGUUUGUGUCUGGGAUGCAUGUAGAGGCUUGGAGUUAAAGGUGAACAAUCUGAUAUCAUCCUUAACGGGAAUAUUGGAGCAGCAAAAUUCUGCAGUCAGAGAGACAUGAUACCAGGUCAAGAAGGUGAUGAGAAUUUUUGCAGAAAUCAGCCAAAUGUAGGCUGUCUUGGAAUUUUCUUAUGGAGAAAAUCACAGGAACAGAGCUCCUUUAAUAAAGUCAAUUGAACAUCUGCUUGAAAUUCUAGAUAAAAAACAAGUUCAGCUACAAACAAUACUGAAAAGUAAAUACGUGGUGUAUUUCAUUGAACAAAUGAAAGGUUGACAAAAUAAAUUAAAUGUGGCAGAUUCUGUCAUUUCCAUUUGGAUGGAAGUUCAAUGCACGUGGGCUCAUCUAGAAAGUAUUUUCAUUUUCUCUGAUGAUAUCAGAAGCCAUUUGCCUGAAGAUGUACACAGACUUGAUGAAAUCAAUACGGGCUUCAGAGUAAGUAGAACUUCCUCUUUGGGAAAAAUCCCUGGGUGGAUAUUUAGAAACCAAGCACAUAAUGUUUCCUCACUUAUAUUUUGUUUCUUCAACAGACUUGCUAGCUAUUCUUCCAAUAGGAACACAGCCAGAACAGACCAUGAAUACUGAAUCAGUAAAAUAUUGCAAAUUUCAUCUGAAGUCUUCUGUAAAUUCACUGAGGGAGUAGAGAAUAACAUCACCCGUGUAAUAUACUAUGUCAACAUAACUUCCUCUUCAAGAUGUAGUAAUAAAUUGUUGUCUCCUGGCCUUUUCAAGACCACCUCAUCCCUGCCUCAGUCCUGUUUUACUGGUGGGGUUUAUGGACUUGUGCUCUACACUCGCUUUCAUCUUCAGUUCUGGCAGUUGCCUUGGCUGUACUGAACCCUGUGCCAUGGUUGAUCCUGACAUUGAACUGAUCUGUGAAAUUUUGUUGGUUGUUGAAAGGUUUAUUGAUAUGUGCUUAUUUGACAGCAAGUUUAGCACCUUGUAUACUCUCUGCAGGGAACUGUUCUCUAAACAGAGUGCACCUUGACAUCUUAAACUUCAGACAAGUAAAUGCCCAGCCUGCGAGAACAGGAAGGAGACAUGUUGCAUCUGUGCUGGAAGAACAGUGUGUGACCUCCUCCUGAAAUCCAUCCGUCCAGAGGAGUCAGCACCUUGUCUUUGUAAAUGAUGUCUAUGAGUGUGAGAUUGUCACUGGAGGAACCAAGGUGGAAAUGGAUCCAAAAGUUCAUGACAUCCUAUUCUCAAAGUAUCGUACUGGAGGUUUUACUUCUGGUGCAAAUUUUGCCAUGUAAAAAUAGAUGGGAUAUUAAAAAUUAGAUAUACACAUUUAACUUUUUUAUGCUUCUGACACUGACCUAAAAACACUGCAAGGCUACAGCGUAAACAGGGAACAAAAAGGUGCCACUUUAAAUAUACUGUUUUCUUAUACAUUACCACCUGGUUUAUUUUCCUGUGCUAACACAAUCCAUUAAAAUAUUUUCCAAGAACCACUGUGACUGGGGACUUCAUGCUAUCAAGUCAGUUCUGGUAGCUGCUGGCUUACUGAAAUGUAGAAAGAACAGACCUGAGGACCAGGUACAACCUUCAUUUACAAGCAGGAGUAAGAGUUGAUCCUGGUGUUCUGUCUGAAUAAAAACAGAAUCCUAAAAAGAGAAGGGUUUAAUGCUCUUGUGAUCUGUGGCUUACCAUCCUUUUCCAGGUGCUUAUGUGAGCCUUAAGAGACUUAAAUUUGCUUAAAAUAGUGACAGAUGAUAUCCCAAUUUUCAUGGGCCUGAUCAGUGACCUGUUUCCAGCUCUGGAUGUUCCAAGGAUAAAGAACCUGUAAUUUGAACAGAUGGUUAAACAAUUUACCCCCGAGCUUCACUUGUAGCCUGAAGAGAGCUUUAUUUUCAAAGCAAAAGAAUUCAUUGCCUUUAAUUAUUCCCCUUAAGAGUUUCAAUCAAAAUAAUUGCAAAUGGGUUGUAUUAGACAUGAAGGUUAUUUUUGAGUAUGUUACACUAUUGAUAAGGCAUCCUCAAAGUCUCAGUAUUUCAAAGGCAUUUUGUAAUGGCAGUACAGGAACUCAGUAUGAUAAAUAUAGAAUUAAGGAAAUAAGGAUAAAUAAGGAAAAAAUAUCUGUUCAAAAAGGCUGUCUCCACUGACAAACAUGAUUUUUUACAGCACCAAGUUCUUGUACACAGUAGCUUAGCAAAUGUUGGUGAUUAUUUAUAGGGGUGAAGGAAGCAAAAAAAAAAAUAAAAUAAAAAGGUAUAGAUUUGGAAUGUGUGAUUACCUAUGUUGUUUUUUUUUCUUCAUGUAUGUUCUGCUAUUUCUGUAUAAUACAACGCAGAGAUAAGUACUGAGAAGGUCUAAGUUCCUAUUUCUUUUUAAAGGGAAUAGAAAAGAGGGGAGAAGGGGAGAGAGAACUUCUGUGCAUACUUCCCUCUCUUUGUUAAGAGGACAACAGGAGAGCAAAGGGUCUCACCAUGUAUUCCUCCUGUGUGGCAGACUGUUAAGCUGGAAGAGCUACUAGCAGUAUGUUGCUCCAUGUUUGCUGUUGGAAAUGCAAGGACUGGAAAAAGCAAGGCAAACCAGUCUGGCUUGUUGGAAAUCCUGGAAUAGGACAAACUCUUUGUAGGUGAUAGUCUUUGGAGAGAACAGCAAGGCUAACAUUCCUUUCAACUGCUAUACACAGUCAGCAAUGUUACAAAAUUAACAAAGAAAUGGACUCUAUCUGCAGCUUUUCCUUCUCUCCACUGUUCUUCAGCCAAGUCACUCUUGUUAAGUGCUCUUCUGUGCAAGUCUGUGCAAGUUCCUAGCUGUGGGUGAAGAACUGCAUAACAGUGUAUACCAAAUAUAUUGUGUUUGCUUUCCAUUGUGUUUACAACAUCUUUCUGGUGAACUGUAACAAUAUAAUUUUGUUCUGUCAUGUAUCACUCAGAAUGACUGCCUCUUAUGUUAUUCUAGUGUUUGUGGAUACCAGUGCUUCUUCCCAUACAAUGAAUUCAAGUGAUAUAUUUUGGUGCCUGCCUUUCAUAUUUUUGGCUACCUCUCCAAGAAAUUGUUUGGAACAAUCAGGUGGUUGUUGUUUAAAUGGGAAGAGGCAUCCACAUCAAAUUACACAAAUGAGCAAUUAAGUCUCAGCUCAAAAAGAAGAGCUUAAAAGCUGAACUUGUUGAAGUACAGCUAUUCCUCACAUUGUCAUGUUCCUUCCAGAGUUUAGAGGUUAAAAGAUUUUUCUUACAUAUCAUAUCACUUUUAAUUUGUGGUAUUUUCUGCCAGCUCCCAUCUUAUCUCUAUCUGCUUAACUUCUUUUGAGCUAUCUGCUAGAGUGGGUGAGAUUAGCAUGAAGUGCUGGGUUUUAUUUAGCAUUCCCCAAGGCAUAUGACUCAUCCACUCUCCCUCUAGAAAAUCAGAAAUUUUCAAAAUGUUAUUUGAUGGCAGUUUCUGAUGCAAGAUAAUAUUGGCACAUUAAGUUUGGGAUCAUCAGUAGUACUAAAGUCUGGAACAGUACCACAGGGAAAUUUGCAUAAACAUUUAAGUACAAUGGGGUUUAGUGAAAUAUAUUUCCUUAUUGUACCGUAAUAAUACAGUAUUUGAAAAAACAUAAUGGGAUCAAUAGGUGACAAUUGUGGACACUUAAAAAUUUGAGUAAGUUUAAGGAUUAAGAAGUGUUCCUAAUUAUGGGUUUAAAAGUACAGGUAUAUACGUACCUCUUCUAAAUGAAGAAAAUAGUCUUCUUUUUCCUAAGAUAUUAAGGCAAUUAAGAUACUUUAGACCUUUCAUAUACAGAUAGUUUCUGCAUGUUUUCCCCUUUUGUGGUAGAAAAUUAGGAUAAGUACAGACAGACAGAUCUUUUUUUUUCCCAAAUUUUAUCAUCCAGCUGCAAAUACACUAAGGUUCUUCAUUUUUGUCUUGUCUGCCAGUGCACCUUCACUCUUCAUGUGCUUGCUUUUGUUCUCCGUAGUCAGUAACUAUACUUUUAGCCAACUGUGGCUAGACAUAAAUGUAUUUGAGAGCAUUUGCUACCUUUCUUGAAGUGGCAUGCCAAACUCACUGUUGAAACAUGCAAAGGAUUUAUUUCACUGCUUAAAGAAUCUGAGACGACAACACAAUGUCCCUUUUAUUCUAAUGGAAGAUGUUUGCAGUGAUAUGUUUCUUCAUACUGCUUUGCCAUGAAAUGAAAAAGUCUGUGACAAGUCAGAACUACGGUUGUUCUGACAUAGAGCAUUUAUGUGUCACUACACAACUGCUGCUUUCAUUUCCUACAAGAUCUCUUGAUUGUGUUGCCCUGUUGUUAAGAUAAUAAUCAAGAUAAGCUUAAAAGUAUAUGUUUAAUUUUCACUUUUCCUAUCUAGCCAAAAAGAUUUUAACAUAUAACCUACUAUAACGUGUUUAAAAAAUAAAAAAAUAAAAUAAAAUAAAAUAAAAAAA
Non-coding RNA from Anas platyrhynchos (mallard), 4439 nucleotides. The record is from RefSeq and is a predicted model, not a curated record. Lineage: Eukaryota; Metazoa; Chordata; Aves; Anseriformes; Anatidae.